GAAUUCUCAACCAAUACUGGUUGGAGUUGGGGGUUGCUGGUAGUCAGCUCUCCUGAAAUUGAUUAAUGCAAAGUGCAUGCAAAUGGCCUUUUGAUGUGAUAAUGAUCAUCAUGGGCUGGCAUGUUCUAGCUAAGCUUUAGUUACUAGUCUCUGACGAACACAAAGCUAUUGAUC
This 174-nucleotide unclassified non-coding RNA is filed under the name uncultured Boletales. Its description in RNAcentral is "sequence contains ITS2". The record is from RNAcentral. Lineage: Eukaryota; Fungi; Basidiomycota; Agaricomycetes; Boletales.